This is a long non-coding RNA of Triticum aestivum (bread wheat), 1704 nucleotides long. RefSeq lists it as uncharacterized. The record is from RefSeq and is a predicted model, not a curated record. Lineage: Eukaryota; Viridiplantae; Streptophyta; Magnoliopsida; Poales; Poaceae. The transcript has 4 exons.
GUGGCGGCGCCACCAUACUCGUGGGGUAGUCAGAGGAGGAACUAAUCCAGCCGAGGCGCCACGAGGGGAUCGGCGAGGGGAUCUAGCGCGAGGGGAUAGGCGAGCAGACCCAUCCCUCCCGAGUCAUCCUACCGACCUCAACCUUGGGCGGAUCCUAUGUCCGCCGCCGCCACGAGAUCGCAGGUCCUCCACCCAUCCCAACCCUGCUCCUUCUCUCCAUGCUAAUGGAAAUCCUUGCCCAAUCGCUGACUGUUGUUCGUCUCGCCAACGGGGAAGAAAGGUAGUCGUUACUCGCACAUGUUGGUCGACUGUCAGAUUAGGGGUGGAGACCAACUACAAGCAGUCAUGUGGGUGUUUUGCAGUUCAUCAAAAUAUAACCAGUAUUUUACUGUUGCACUGCACAUUCUCCAAACCCCUUGUUAUUUGUGCAGAUCGAUUUCUUAUGCAAGACUUGGAACAACCGGUAGACUCUGCUCGGUUCUUUUCUGCACUAAUGCGAGGAUGAUGAUGAGUUCUGCAUGAAACAAAGUUUAAUUGGUGUUCAGCAUAGUUCUGGUCAAAUGAUUCAGGCAAAUAUUUUGGCUGGUUCUCAUAUUUUGGUUCAGGGAAUUUUUCAAUCUACAACGGCUGCUAGCCAGGUAAUUAGUUUCCAUGAACUGCCAUACCUCAUAUCUCCAUGUUUUCAAAUUGUGCUAACUGAUCAAGAACCUAAUUACGAGGUUUUGCAAUUGUUAUCUCCCCUGAAUUUAUAUUUCUCCAUUACAAGAUUGCAACUUUUUUUAAGUACUGGUACAAGAUGGAAGACACCUCCGCUUUAUCUUUCUUCUUGCAAGCACUCUGAUGAAACCCUAGCCAUGGUCUAGCAGCGCUGCCGCCCUUGCAAUGCCCGUCUGCACCAUUGCAGCAGCCGUAUCGAUGAGCCCAAGAUUAACAAGUGCAUGCCUUUAGCAUUCCUGCAAUGAUUAUAUUUUCGUUAGGGGACUGACAACCUCUCUUUCUUAUCUUCAUUUAGUGGUUGAAAGAUUGUCUACCAAAUAUGUGUACGGCAAUGAUUAUCUUCAUUCGGUGGUUAAAAGAUCGUUCAUCUCGGCCGUCAAUUGAGGUUUAGAUAGAUGGAGCCUGACACUCUCUGCCCUCAAGAACCACUUCGGUGCUGCCACACCUGGCAGCGACAAGUUCGGUGGCCUCUUCUCUACCGACCAGCUCGCCCUUGAGUUCCCCACAUUCAACGCAUGUUGGCAGUUUGAUGGAUUCCAGAAGGCGGCCAAGGAGAUGGUGAACCACAAGAAGGGGACGACCACGCUCUCCUUCAUCUUCGACAAAGGCGUCAUCAUUGUGGCCGAUUCCUAGGCCAGCAUGUCUAUAAUCAAUUCUGGAUAUGGACCUGGAUCUAGAUGAGAGGAUCGUACAUAAAUCGACUUCGUGCAGCCAAUAUCAGUAGUGUUGUCAAGAUGAGGCGGUUGACAGGAGAUGGGAAUGACAAAGCUCUUCUGCUUACUUGAGAUCCAAGUAAACACAAUCAUUCUGCAACUUUCGUACAUGUCCUCCAUUUAUGGUAGAAAAUAUGCAAUCUAACUUGUAAUGUUCAGACAUGAGCAUUGAGCGUACAUUUCUCUUGAGAAGAGACACUUAAUUUUAAAAAGGUCAUAGGCAUACACAUUUAGGACAGUAACCUCUGAAUUUUCAGUGAUGUUUGUUCAUCAA